This 72-nucleotide transfer RNA is filed under the name Nitrospinota bacterium. Its description in RNAcentral is "tRNA-Gly". It matches the Rfam family "tRNA". Rfam says of the family: Transfer RNA (tRNA) molecules are approximately 80 nucleotides in length. Their secondary structure includes four short double-helical elements and three loops (D, anti-codon, and T loops). Lineage: Bacteria; Pseudomonadati; Nitrospinota. The record is from RNAcentral.
GCGUCGUUGGUGUAGGGGUUAGCAUAUCAGCCUUCCAAGCUGGUGACCCGGGUUCGAGUCCCGGACGACGCA